UGAUACCAGCGUAUAUAUGAAAAUAGUA
Molecule: non-coding RNA, 28 nt
Filed under: Mus musculus (house mouse)
Lineage: Eukaryota; Metazoa; Chordata; Mammalia; Rodentia; Muridae
Source: RNAcentral